This 667-nucleotide long non-coding RNA is filed under the name Chloebia gouldiae (Gouldian finch). RNAcentral describes it as "Erythrura gouldiae (Gouldian finch) lncRNA (ENSEGOG00005006999.1)". Lineage: Eukaryota; Metazoa; Chordata; Aves; Passeriformes; Passeridae. The record is from RNAcentral.
CUGGAAGUUCCCGGUUUCUGCGGUCGCAGCUGUCCCAGCGGGCUCAUAUCUGCCCUGUUGAGAGACGCCGGCACCUUCUGGGCGGGGUGGGAGCCUGAAGGCAGCCGGGGAGCACCAGCCUCAGGUGGGCAUCGUGCCUGCCUUCACCAGCCUGACGGGAACAGACAGGGACAAAGGGUCCAGGCCAGCUCUACGACUGUGCUGUCCCCAGGGAAGGAAGGGUCCUCCUGCUGCGCUGGCUGCCGGUGACCUGGCAGGGGACAUGGAGCUGCUGGCUGUCACAGCCCCAGAGGAAGCAGGGAAGGAUGCAACAGCAUCACAAGCCGAGGUGGAAGGAGCAGAAAAAACAGCUGCAAUGCCAGAGGCAGAAAGCCUAGUGGGGAAGAUGGUCACUCCUGAAGGAGCAGCAGCAGUUGUGGUGGGAGCAUCAGAAAACCCAGCAGCAGAAAGAGUGGCAGAAGCAUUUGCCAGGGCAGCAGAAAGAACUGCAGCAGCAGAAGUAGCCAAGGUGUUGCAGUCAGCAAUAGCUGAGCUCAAAGGAAAGAGGAAGGACAUGUGGAUAAAGCCAAGGAACGCCACUCAGCAGGAAAAGGAUUGGAUGAAAGAGGGAGAGGUGAAAUGAAAAGGAGAGGUGAUGUUCUGGGUCAUACCUCCUAAUGGCUUGUAC